Molecule: transfer RNA, 69 nt
Filed under: Allobates crombiei
Lineage: Eukaryota; Metazoa; Chordata; Amphibia; Anura; Aromobatidae
Also listed under: 1 other name
Description: tRNA-Trp
Rfam family: tRNA
About the family: Transfer RNA (tRNA) molecules are approximately 80 nucleotides in length. Their secondary structure includes four short double-helical elements and three loops (D, anti-codon, and T loops).
Source: RNAcentral
AGAAACUUAGGCUAAAUAUACCCAAAGCCUUCAAAGCUUUAAAUAGAAGUUAAAAUCUUCUAGUUUCUG